This is a long non-coding RNA of Cephus cinctus (wheat stem sawfly), 1650 nucleotides long. RefSeq lists it as uncharacterized. The transcript has 5 exons. NCBI's taxonomy places the organism in Eukaryota, Metazoa, Arthropoda, Insecta, Hymenoptera, Cephidae. The record is from RefSeq and is a predicted model, not a curated record.
AUGCUUUUAAACGCUAAUACGGAAAACGAUCGCUAACUUGGUUAACGUCUCCUGCAUGCUGUGCAUAAUUAAAGCUUCCAGCCAUCGACCUUGCUCCACUCACCGAGAUUGGCUCGAUGAAUAACUCAGAAGCUGUGAAUAAGAGUGGCCGAGCUUCUACGAGUUGCAAUCUGUUGCAUGCAAAUUCGUUGGUGCGUCUUGUCUGAACUGUGGCGAAUUCGUGGUAGCGUGUUGUGUGUCCGUACGGUUUAAUGACGCGUGAAAGUGUUCUGGCUGAAUUACUUUUAUUUUUUUCCACAACACACAGUGAUACGAUUUCAAGAUGAAUAACGCGGAGCGAUAAGCAAAAUUUCAAGAUAAAGAAAUUAAAUCGAUAAGAUUUUUAUUGAUACUCGAUCAAGGAAUAGUUUGACCAAUCGUUUCUUAUCCAAAAAUGACAAUUAUUGGAAUACAUUGAUUAUGCUACUUGGCGCUGUCAGCAAUCCACAUGUUAAUGCCGUCGCUGAGCAUUAAUAUUAUUGAUUCUUAUUUCAAUGGGAGCUGCCCGCUCGUCUUUUUCAUACAACUAAAAGAACCAGACGUGCUCUGCUUCUCUCUGGUCUCUAAUUAACGAAGCAUCCCUCAGAGCAUCACGAAGAUCUUCGUCAAGCGUUAUCGUAGCUCGUGAUGUCGAAGCUGAUGAGGUCUGCGUCGAGUCCGAUUCAACGAAAGCUGCUAUCAGCAAUGACUCUGUCCUCUCUUCCCACGCGUAACACAAUCUAAUCAAUUUCUUAGAUAUAUAUCGAGCUUAUCAAAGAAUCUCCACAGCCAUGUCGUGGCGCGACACUACAGUGGAUGGGAGCGACACCCGAUGAUAAUUUCUGAGAGUGACUUACAUAUUUUUCUUUACAAAUUUUUUUACUUAUUUUUUAUAUUCCUAAUAUAUAUUUUUACUCGUUCCUCGACAAAUCGACAUCUUAGCCGAACGUGCAUCCUGAUCAGAUCAUUGACUUACCUUCCAGGUUCUUAUUGCGAGCAAGAAGAGCAAGUAGAACGUCAGGAUUGGGUGGUGCGUCGGUGAGAUCUGCAGAGUCGUGGUGUCCCGGGGCUAAGGAUUCUCCCAGGGGUGGCAUAGGUCCCGGUGGUGGUCUUGGCAUCAUCACGGGUCCAGCGCCAAGAGGAGGCAAUGGCAAUCCGCCACCGGUACCACCGCCACUUCCCGGUGGAUGAAGUAUGUUGUGGCUCUGAGGCCCAUUCGAGGGUGGUUGGACGGCGGCGGACAUCGACAGGUCCACACCCCCGAGUAAGACAGGACGACAGUUCGUCACUGCCGGGAGGAUACCGCCACCUCCCGGCAGCGGUGCGUAAGGCAGGAUCCUGCGCGAAUUCCACCACGUAUUACGAAUGGGAAUUUUGGAGCCACGCGAUGUUCUGUAAUACGACAGUCCGCGACGAUGACGUCUACGACUUCAAAGUCCCGUCGGGAACACACAAUGUCGCGACAAGUCCCCGAGAAGUUUACUCGAUUUUUAUUCUCCGUUUAUACAAUGAACAACGAAGGAUGUCCUUGAUCCAGGUUUUCAUGUAUUGACGAAACCCUUCUUUUUUCUUUCUUCAAUAAACGUUAACGUCGCUUCUAGCUGUAAAAGCGACGCAACCAAUGAGUCUUGA